Molecule: ribosomal RNA, 327 nt
Filed under: Triticum aestivum (bread wheat)
Lineage: Eukaryota; Viridiplantae; Streptophyta; Magnoliopsida; Poales; Poaceae
Description: partial small subunit ribosomal RNA
Source: RNAcentral
AUGCAGAGUAUAACCGCAAGAGAAAGCUACUGGAGGAGGCCGACCAGGGCACCUUGGCCCCCAUGUUGGCAGCAGCGGCCCGGCGCGGCAGCUCCCGCUGCAGAUCGUCGGCCCGGCGCGGCGGCUCCCGCUGCAGAUCGUCGGUCCGGUGCGGCGGCUCCCGCUGCAGCUCCUCGGCCCGGGGAGGCGGCUCCGGUUGCAGCUCUGCCGCCCACCGCGGCGCCUCCCGCUGCAGCUCGGCGGAUCAGCGGGUCCCGGAGCUCCCGCUGCAACUCGGAGCUGCAGAUGGUGCGCUCGUUGCUGGUAAAAACUAAGUUCUUUCAGUGA